This 818-nucleotide ribosomal RNA is filed under the name Bacillus subtilis. RNAcentral describes it as "partial 23S ribosomal RNA". It matches the Rfam family "Bacterial large subunit ribosomal RNA", at positions 1 to 813 of the family's 2925-position model. The record is from RNAcentral. Lineage: Bacteria; Bacillati; Bacillota; Bacilli; Caryophanales; Bacillaceae.
CGGUUAAGUUAGAAAGGGCGCACGGUGGAUGCCUUGGCACUAGGAGCCGAUGAAGGACGGGACGAACACCGAUAUGCUUCGGGGAGCUGUAAGCAAGCUUUGAUCCGGAGAUUUCCGAAUGGGGAAACCCACCACUCGUAAUGGAGUGGUAUCCAUAUCUGAAUUCAUAGGAUAUGAGAAGGCAGACCCGGGGAACUGAAACAUCUAAGUACCCGGAGGAAGAGAAAGCAAAUGCGAUUCCCUGAGUAGCGGCGAGCGAAACGGGAUCAGCCCAAACCAAGAGGCUUGCCUCUUGGGGUUGUAGGACACUCUGUACGGAGUUACAAAGGAACGAGGUAGGUGAAGAGGUCUGGAAAGGCCCGCCAUAGGAGGUAACAGCCCUGUAGUCAAAACUUCGUUCUCUCCUGAGUGGAUCCUGAGUACGGCGGAACACGUGAAAUUCCGUCGGAAUCCGGGAGGACCAUCUCCCAAGGCUAAAUACUCCCUAGUGACCGAUAGUGAACCAGUACCGUGAGGGAAAGGUGAAAAGCACCCCGGAAGGGGAGUGAAAGAGAUCCUGAAACCGUGUGCCUACAAGUAGUCAGAGCCCGUUAACGGGUGAUGGCGUGCCUUUUGUAGAAUGAACCGGCGAGUUACGAUCCCGUGCAAGGUUAAGCAGAAGAUGCGGAGCCGCAGCGAAAGCGAGUCUGAAUAGGGCGCAUGAGUACGUGGUCGUAGACCCGAAACCAGGUGAUCUACCCAUGUCCAGGGUGAAGUUCAGGUAACACUGAAUGGAGGCCCGAACCCACGCACGUUGAAAAGUGCGGGGAUGAGGUGUG